Molecule: non-coding RNA, 30 nt
Filed under: Rattus norvegicus (Norway rat)
Lineage: Eukaryota; Metazoa; Chordata; Mammalia; Rodentia; Muridae
Source: RNAcentral
UAUAUUGAGGACCUAUACUGAGACCUAGGA